This is a non-coding RNA of Python bivittatus (Burmese python), 161 nucleotides long. The record is from RefSeq and is a predicted model, not a curated record. Lineage: Eukaryota; Metazoa; Chordata; Lepidosauria; Squamata; Pythonidae.
GUACAAAGAUGAGAGGGGAGAUGCUAUGCUCAUGAAGGUGGUUUUCCCAGGGUUAGGGUCAUCCAUUGCACUUCAAGAAUGCUGACUCCUGCGAUUUCCCCAAAUGCAAGAAACUCGAUGGCAUAAUUUGUGAUGUAUAUAUGUACACACACAUAUAUAUG